GACGAACGCUGGCGGCGUGCUUAACACAUGCAAGUCGAACGGAAAGGCCCUGCUUUUGUGGGGUGCUCGAGUGGCGAACGGGUGAGUAACACGAGAGUAACCUGCCCUUGACUUUGGGAUAACUUCAGGAAACUGGGGCUAAUACCGGAUAGGCGCUCCUGCUGCAGGGAGGGGGUUGGAAAGUUUCGGCGGUUGGGGCUGGACCCGCGGCUUAUCAGCUUGUGGGUGGGGUAGUGGCUUACCAAGGCUUUGACGGGUAGCCGGCCUGAGAGGGUGACCGGCCACAUUGGGACUGAGAUACGGCCCAGACUCCUACGGGAGGCAGCAGUGGGGAAUAUUGCACAAUGGGCGGAAGCCUGAUGCAGCAACGCCGCGUGCGGGAUGACGGCCUUCGGGUUGUAAACCGCUUUCGCCUGUGACGAAGCGUGAGUGACGGUAAUGGGUAAAGAAGCACCGGCUAACUAUGUG
This 468-nucleotide ribosomal RNA is filed under the name uncultured bacterium. Its description in RNAcentral is "partial 16S ribosomal RNA". It matches the Rfam family "Bacterial small subunit ribosomal RNA", at positions 28 to 507 of the family's 1533-position model. The record is from RNAcentral.